Molecule: ribosomal RNA, 161 nt
Filed under: uncultured bacterium
Lineage: Bacteria
Description: partial 16S ribosomal RNA
Rfam family: Bacterial small subunit ribosomal RNA
Source: RNAcentral
UGGGGAAUUUUGGACAAUGGGCGCAAGCCUGAUCCAGCCAUGCCGCGUGCAGGAUGAAGGCCUUCGGGUUGUAAACUGCUUUUGUACGGAACGAAAAGACUCCUUCUAAUAAAGGGGGUCCAUGACGGUACCGUAAGAAUAAGCACCGGCUAACUACGUGC